GAAACAAUCUGCCAGUGGAACUAGAACUGGGUUGCUAGGUAACGGGCUGGGCUCAGCUGGGGUUGCUAGGUAACGGAGUUCUCUUUAUGAAACAAUCUGCCAGUGGAACUAGAACUUUUCAUCGAUAUUUAGGAAUUAACAACUUAAACUCUUAUAUCUGCUGAAAUGUUGCUUGUAAACUAGCUUUGUCUCAUUUUAAACCUGAUAUGAUAUUUGCACCAGAAACUAGAGAAAAAUUUUGUGUUUUUACAGUGACAGAGUUUAAUCAGCUCAUUAAUCCCAAUAAAGGAUUAAAAUCACAAAUAACAGACUGAGUGAUAUGGACAGGAAAUAUUCUACUGUUACAUUAAAGGGGAAAUAUGACAAUUUUAUUAAUUAAUAAUCUCCAUAAUUUGUUGAUGCUCAUGAUACUCAUUAGAAAUUAGAGGGGCGGCCAUUUUGUUUGGAUAUGGGGAGAAAUGUGUCAUUAUUUGAAUCCGUUAGUCGAGGAAUAAAUAAGCUGAAAUACUUUAAACUGUCUUCAUGUUUAGCGUAACGUUAGUAUAGAAUGUGGACGAAAUGAAGGAGUUUAGAACUGAUUCUGAUCUUCAGGUAUUGUUUACUACAGGAUUAAAACCAGAUGAAGUUUCUGUUUGGGUCGUUUUUGCUCCAUCCUUCAGUUUAAAGCCAUUUGAAAGCGGUCGGCUCGUUGCUGCGUCUGUUCAAUCGGUGGUGAAUGUAAAAUAUGUGUCAGCAUUGUGAAGAAGGUUUUCUGUUUUUCCUCUGAGUCUGAUGAAGCCUUUAGCUGCAGGACAUAUAAAAACAUAGUGUUGCAUUGUGUGUUUGUGAGCAUAAAGUUCCAUGUUUGUGUGAACCAGUGGCUUUUGUGAGCUUCCUUCAAGCCUUUUGUACAGUAUUUUCUCCGCCACUAUUUAAUCCUAAAUUAAUUUAUUAAUGCUGUUUUUCAUGUAAAUGAAUUGGUGUGAUUCAUUCUACAGCUUAUCUGCUCUGUUUCAUAGUUUUUGAUAAAUUUUGUUGUUGUUUGGCUGAGGUUGUAUAAAAGCGAUGUUUCAAACUGAACAGCUCAUACCAAAUAAACGGCCCCUUGUCUGACUUAUUCUGUACUUUUCUGUUGUCUAAUUUGGAGGAUAAACUCUGAGAUUAACGAGGCUCUAGCAACACUUUCUAAAUUUAUUCAUCUUACAGUUUAACCUGAAGAUUUACAGGAUUUUCUCUUAACUGCUGCUUGAGUUUUCACUUCAAGUAAAAUAAUUGAUCAGAUUAAAAGAACAUUUUGAAAAUAACCUUUAAGCAGGACUUGACAUUAAUUUCUACAUUGGUGUUUGUAUUGGUCUCAUGUGAUAGUCUAGUCUUAGAUAUCAUGUUUUCAAUAAAGGCUUGAAAACAG
Poecilia reticulata (guppy) is the source of this 1387-nucleotide non-coding RNA. The record is from RefSeq and is a predicted model, not a curated record. Lineage: Eukaryota; Metazoa; Chordata; Actinopteri; Cyprinodontiformes; Poeciliidae.